UACGUAGGGUGCGAGCGUUGCCCGGAUUUAUUGGGCGUAAAGGGCGCGUAGGCGGCUCGGCACGUCCGUUGUGAAAUCGCCCGGCUCAACUGGGCGGGGUCAGCGGAUACGGUCGAGCUUGAGCAAGCUAGGGGGCAAUGGAAUUCCCGGUGUAGUGGUGGAAUGCGUAGAUAUCGGGAGGAACACCAGUGGCGAAGGCGGUUGCCUGGAGCUUUGCUGACGCUGAGGCGCGAAAGCGUGGGGAGCGAACGGG
Molecule: ribosomal RNA, 253 nt
Filed under: uncultured bacterium
Lineage: Bacteria
Description: partial 16S ribosomal RNA
Rfam family: Bacterial small subunit ribosomal RNA
Source: RNAcentral